This 252-nucleotide ribosomal RNA is filed under the name Encephalitozoon intestinalis. Its description in RNAcentral is "partial small subunit ribosomal RNA". It matches the Rfam family "Microsporidia small subunit ribosomal RNA", at positions 191 to 447 of the family's 1311-position model. Lineage: Eukaryota; Fungi; Microsporidia; Unikaryonidae. The record is from RNAcentral.
GGUAAUGGCCUAACUAGGCGGAGACGGGAGACGGGGGAUCGGGGUUUGAUUCCGGAGAGGGAGCCUGAGAGAUGGCUACUACGUCCAAGGAUGGCAGCAGGCGCGAAACUUGCCUAAUCCUUUGGGGAGGCGGUUAUGAGAAGUGAGUUUUUUUCGAGUGUAAAGGAGUCGAGAUUGAUUGGAGGGCAAGUCGGGUGCCAGCAGCCGCGGUAAUACCUGCUCCAAUAGUGUCUAUGGUGAAUGCUGCAGUUA